RNAcentral lists this transfer RNA (76 nucleotides) under Acetobacter aceti. RNAcentral describes it as "tRNA-Glu". It matches the Rfam family "tRNA". From Rfam's summary of the family: Transfer RNA (tRNA) molecules are approximately 80 nucleotides in length. Their secondary structure includes four short double-helical elements and three loops (D, anti-codon, and T loops). RNAcentral also lists the same sequence under 152 other names. The record is from RNAcentral. Lineage: Bacteria; Pseudomonadati; Pseudomonadota; Alphaproteobacteria; Acetobacterales; Acetobacteraceae.
GUCCCGUUCGUCUAGAGGCCUAGGACACCGCCCUUUCACGGCGGCAACACGGGUUCGAAUCCCGUACGGGACGCCA